GACGAACGCUGGCGGCGUGCCUAAUACAUGCGAGUCGAACGAACCGCGACUGAGUGCUUGCACUUGGUCAAGGUGAGUGGCGAACGGGUGAGUAACACGUGGGUAACCUACCUCAUAGUGGGGGAUAACAGUCGGAAACGACUGCUAAUACCGCAUAGGACAUAGGAUCACAUGAUCCAGUGAGGAAAGGUGGCGCAAGCUAUCGCUAAGAGAUGGACCCGCGGUGCAUUAGCUAGUUGGUAGGGUAAAGGCCUACCAAGGCGAUGAUGCAUAGCCGACCUGAGAGGGUGAUCGGCCACAUUGGGACUGAGACACGGCCCAAACUCCUACGGGAGGCAGCAGUAGGGAAUCUUCCGCAAUGGACGCAAGUCUGACGGAGCAACGCCGCGUGAGUGAAGAAGGUCUUCGGAUCGUAAAGCGCUGUUGUUAGAGAAGAACAGCGCAUAGAGUAACUGCUAUGCGUGUGACGGUAUCUAACCAGAAAGCCACGGCUAACUACGU
This 501-nucleotide ribosomal RNA is filed under the name uncultured bacterium. RNAcentral describes it as "partial 16S ribosomal RNA". It matches the Rfam family "Bacterial small subunit ribosomal RNA", at positions 28 to 506 of the family's 1533-position model. The record is from RNAcentral.